GCCAGGGCGGUGGCGUGUGCCUGUAGUCCCAGCUACUCCGGAUGCUGAGGUGGGAGGAUCGCUUGAGCCCAGGAGUUCUGGGCUAUAGUGCGCUGUGCCGAUCGGGCAUCUGCACUAAGUUCGGCAUCAAUAAGUUGACCUCUCGGGAGCAGGGGACAACCAGGUUGCCUAAGGAGGGGUGAACCAGCCCGGAUUGGAAACAGAGCAGGUCAAAACUCCCGUGCUGAUCAGUAGUGGGAUCGCACCUGUGAAUAGCCACUGCACUCCAGCCUGGGCAACAUAGCAAGACGCAGUCUCUU
Molecule: unclassified non-coding RNA, 299 nt
Organism: Callithrix jacchus (white-tufted-ear marmoset)
Lineage: Eukaryota; Metazoa; Chordata; Mammalia; Primates; Cebidae
Rfam family: Metazoan signal recognition particle RNA
About the family: The signal recognition particle (SRP) is a universally conserved ribonucleoprotein.
Source: Ensembl